RNAcentral lists this ribosomal RNA (301 nucleotides) under uncultured bacterium. Its description in RNAcentral is "partial 16S ribosomal RNA". It matches the Rfam family "Bacterial small subunit ribosomal RNA", at positions 509 to 807 of the family's 1533-position model. The record is from RNAcentral.
CAGUAGCCGCGGUAAUACAGAGGGUGCGAGCGUUAAUCGGAUUUACUGGGCGUAAAGCGUGCGUAGGCGGCUUCUUAAGUCGGAUGUGAAAUCCCUGAGCUUAACUUAGGAAUUGCAUUCGAUACUGGGAAGCUAGAGUAUGGGAGAGGAUGGUAGAAUUCCAGGUGUAGCGGUGAAAUGCGUAGAGAUCUGGAGGAAUACCGAUGGCGAAGGCAGCCAUCUGGCCUAAUACUGACGCUGAGGUACGAAAGCAUGGGGAGCAAACAGGAUUGGAUACCCCAGUAGUCCCUGUCUCUUAUAC